Long non-coding RNA from Octopus bimaculoides (California two-spot octopus), 1786 nucleotides. RefSeq lists it as uncharacterized. The record is from RefSeq and is a predicted model, not a curated record. NCBI's taxonomy places the organism in Eukaryota, Metazoa, Mollusca, Cephalopoda, Octopoda, Octopodidae.
CAUUUAUAAGCAGAAAAAGUUAAAAAAUAGAAGUAUUCAUUGAAUUUGCAGCAUAGUCAUUCACAAAUUUGAAUUUGAAUGUCAAAUAGAGAAUAUAUAUUCUAUAAUAUGGAUUUGUUAAAUAAAAAAAAGGAUUAAAAAAAAAAUUGAAUACCUUCUUUAUUUGUGUUUGAAUAUCUGCAUUAUAGAUACAUCAUAGUUGUUUGCUUCUUUGCUACAAUCAACCUUUAUCAAGCAAGCAUGCCAGCCAUGAACAUCCUGUCAUCUAAGAUAAAACUGCCUAAUGUGUUUUGAAUAUAGUAUAGUGUAAUAUGCAGCAGAAUUGUUUUAUCUUUCUAGCAGGUCAAUAACCUUGAAGAGAUUCCAUAAUUGGUUUAAUAUAAUGCAGUUCAAUGAUGCUCUGUAUUAGGGAAUUUGCUGUAGUAAUAACAAGGGUUAAUAAACAGCAAUUUUCAAAGAAAUGGAACAAAUAAAGAAUUUUAAUUCCUAAAUGGGAAGUUGCACAAAAGGAAUUAUCAAUGAAGGCGAUAUAAACAUCUUGAAUCAAACUGAACAGAGAAAUGGAGGGUAACAAUCAAGGUAUAUAUUUAUUUUUAUACUAAGUACUCGAAGCAUGCAAUGAAUACACAAAAGAUGUAGUGGCCUCACAAUGAUAUUAAGAGAGAAGAAGGAUUUUAUAUGUUAUAGAUACACAAGUGUAUGAGUACCUAAGAAAUUCUCUUAAUUAGCCAGGAAGUUUGUUAGAAGUAGUCAACAGUUUCAGUUGUCUAAUUACUUGAUAUGUUAUACAUUGUGUUGUGAAAGCAUAAUAAUAAAAUAAGUAGGGGGUACUUCAGGAAGCUAUUACCUUUAUUGAUAUUUGAUCUCCAAAGAGCAGACUAUAUAUGAUGUGUGUGCUUAAAGUAUGACACUGCAUGACAGCAAAACUAGGGCUGGGCAAGGAAUUUAGAGGGUAUGUGAAGGCUAGAAAGAAAUGAAGCAAAUAUGCACCACAGGCUAUGUUAUAUCUGCAAUGACUGAUUGCAGAUGAGUUGAGGAAAAAACCUAGCUAUCAGAAUUUUCACACCACAGAGUGCGAAAGGAAAGCCUGCACUAGUAUGUAAAUGUGAUGCAUUAAAGAAGAAACAGAUGAAGGAGGGCCAAACAAUGCAGGUAGAGGGAGGACUGGGAAAGGAGGACUCAAAAAUGUGUACAGAAUUGUUGGGUACUGAUCUUGGGAUGUUGAGACUCACAAUAAAGUUAAAGGGUGUUGACAAGUGGCAUGAUGCUUUGAUGAAAUUGUCACUUCUAAUCAAUGGCAGCAUGAUAAAGGAAGCAUAAAGAGGACAAUGAUAACUGCUAGUAUUAAAACAUUUUGAUUUAUCAAACAUAUGGGUUUGAGCCCUUCAAUCUCUGUUCUUUUUCAGAUGCUGCAUGACCACUCACAUGCAUAUAAAUAUACCAAAUGUGACACUUGUAAAAGAAUAAAACAAACUUAUUAAAAUGUAAUUUCUUGUAGUUUAAUAAAAGUAAUCAACAAGAUGAGGAAAUAAGUGUCAAACCAAGUCAUGGAUAAAAAAUAAUCACUUAAAACCCUUCAAGGUGGUGCUGCAGCUUGUCUGAAGUCCAGUAUAUAAAGCAAAUAAUCCUUUUGAAGAUACACUGAGUUAACUGUAAACUUACAGCAUCAGAUAGAAUGCCUCAUGGCAUUCUUUCCAGCUCUCUGCACUCAAGUUCAAACCAUACUUAGGACAACUUUGUUUAUCUUUCUUUCAAGGUUGCUAAAUAAAGUAUCAAUCCACUGCAA